GAGAAUGUUUUCUAGGGUUCCGCAAUACAAAUUGGUCUGGUCCGAGAGAAAACUCACAGCCUGAGCUGUGCCACGGAAGGAUAAAAGCCUGGGAGAG
Molecule: small RNA, 97 nt
Filed under: Oceanobacillus oncorhynchi
Lineage: Bacteria; Bacillati; Bacillota; Bacilli; Caryophanales; Bacillaceae
Description: Guanidine-I sequence
Rfam family: Guanidine-I riboswitch aptamer
About the family: This family represents a conserved RNA structure found upstream of the ykkC and yxkD genes in Bacillus subtilis and related genes in other bacteria. The function of this family is unclear although it has been suggested that it may function to switch on efflux pumps and detoxification systems in response to harmful environmental molecules.
Source: Rfam by way of RNAcentral